Molecule: unclassified non-coding RNA, 274 nt
Filed under: soil metagenome
Description: partial internal transcribed spacer 1
Source: RNAcentral
ACUAGUAUUGAAGUCCACGGGGAUCAGGCUUUCCGAAAGGAGGGUGGGGGGAUGUUUGGUUCCCCCUGCUUGAGCAGACUGGAGAGCAUGGUGUAACUACCGUCAUAUGGUAGCUAGAUUAUGUUUGGCCUCUGCUGAUCGAGCUUGUCACCUGAAUUCUACUACCCUUGCUUUUUUGCGCACCCAUUGUUUCCUCGGCAGGCUUGCCUGCCAGUAGGACCCCUUGAAAACCCUUUGUAAUUGCAAUCAGCGUCAGAAACAACGUAAUCGUUAC